GACGAACGCUGGCGGCGUGCUUAACACAUGCAAGUCGAACGGAAAGGCCCUGCUUUUGUGGGGUGCUCGAGUGGCGAACGGGUGAGUAACACGUGAGUAGCCUGCCCUUGACUUUGGGAUAACUUCAGGAAACUGGAGCUAAUACCGGAUAGGAGCUCCUGCUGCAUGGUGGGGGUUGGAAAGUUUCGGCGGUUGGGGAUGGACUCGCGGCUUAUCAGCUUGUUGGUGGGGUAGUGGCUUACCAAGGCUUUGACGGGUAGCCGGCCUGAGAGGGUGACCGGCCACAUUGGGACUGAGAUACGGCCCAGACUCCUACGGGAGGCAGCAGUGGGGAAUAUUGCACAAUGGGCGGAAGCCUGAUGCAGCAACGCCGCGUGCGGGAUGACGGCCUUCGGGUUGUAAACCGCUUUCGCCUGUGACGAAGCGUGAGUGACGGUAAUGGGUAAAGAAGCACCGGCUAACUACGUG
Molecule: ribosomal RNA, 468 nt
Filed under: uncultured bacterium
Lineage: Bacteria
Description: partial 16S ribosomal RNA
Rfam family: Bacterial small subunit ribosomal RNA
Source: RNAcentral